GAUGAACGCUGGCGGCGUGCCUAAUACAUGCAAGUCGAGCGAACGGACGAGAAGCUUGCUUCUCUGAUGUUAGUGGCGGACGGGUGAGUAACACGUGGAUAACCUACCUAUAAGACUGGGAUAACUUCGGGAAACCGGAGCUACUACCGGAUAAUAUUUUGACCCGCAUGGUUCAAAAGUGAAAGACGGUCUUGCUGUCACUUAUAGAUGGAUCCGCGCUGCAUUAGCUAGUUGGUAAGGUAACGGCUUACCAAGGCAACGAUGCAUAGCCGACCUGAGAGGGUGGUCGGCCACACUGGAACUGAGACACGGUCCAGACUCCUACGGGAGGCAGCAGUAGGGAAUCUUCCGCAAUGGGCGAAAGCCGGACGGAGCAACGCCGCGUGAGUGAUGAAGGUCUUCGGAUCGUAAAACUCUGUUAUUAGGGAAGAACAUAUGUGUAAGUAACUGUGCACAUCUUGACGGUACCUAAUCAGAAAGCCACGGCUAACUACGUG
RNAcentral lists this ribosomal RNA (497 nucleotides) under uncultured bacterium. RNAcentral describes it as "partial 16S ribosomal RNA". It matches the Rfam family "Bacterial small subunit ribosomal RNA", at positions 28 to 507 of the family's 1533-position model. The record is from RNAcentral.